This 253-nucleotide ribosomal RNA is filed under the name uncultured bacterium. Its description in RNAcentral is "partial 16S ribosomal RNA". It matches the Rfam family "Bacterial small subunit ribosomal RNA", at positions 524 to 776 of the family's 1533-position model. The record is from RNAcentral.
UACGUAGGGGGCAAGCGUUGUCCGGAUUUACUGGGCGUAAAGAGCGCGUAGGCGGAAGCUUAAGUGUGGUUUGAAAGCCCCCGGCUCAACCGGGGAAUGUGAUUGCAAACUGGGCUUCUUGAGGGGGAUAGAGGAGAGUGGAAUUCCUGGUGUAGCGGUGAAAUGCGUAGAGAUCAGGAGGAACACCCGUGGCGAAGGCGGGUCUCUGGGCAUCUCCUGACGCUGAGGCGCGAAAGCGUGGGGAGCAAACGGG